UACGUAGGGUCCGAGCGUUGUCCGGAUUUACUGGGUGUAAAGGGUGCGUAGGCGGACUUGUGCGUCAGGGGUUAAAUCCCACGGCUUAACCGUGGAGCUGCCUUUGAUACGGCAAGUCUUGAGUGUGAGAGAGGAUGAUAGAAUUCCUGGUGUAGCGGUGAAAUGCGUAGAUAUCAGGAGGAAUACCGGUGGCGAAGGCGGUCAUCUGGCUCAUUACUGACGCUGAGGCACGAAAGCGUGGGGAGCGAACAGGAUUAGAUACCCUGGUAGUCCACGCCCUAAACGAUGCAUGCUUGGUGUUGGGAAGCAAUUCUCAGUGCCGAAGGUAACCCGUUAAGCAUGCCACCUGGGGAGUACGAUCGCAAGGUUGAA
This 372-nucleotide ribosomal RNA is filed under the name uncultured bacterium. Its description in RNAcentral is "bacterial SSU rRNA". It matches the Rfam family "Bacterial small subunit ribosomal RNA", at positions 524 to 898 of the family's 1533-position model. The record is from RNAcentral.